RNAcentral lists this ribosomal RNA (497 nucleotides) under uncultured bacterium. RNAcentral describes it as "partial 16S ribosomal RNA". It matches the Rfam family "Bacterial small subunit ribosomal RNA", at positions 28 to 507 of the family's 1533-position model. The record is from RNAcentral.
GACGAACGCUGGCGGCGUGCCUAAUACAUGCAAGUCGAACGAGAGCGACCGGUGCUUGCACUGGUCAAUCUAGUGGCGAACGGGUGAGUAACACGUGGUAACCUGCCCAUCAGAGGGGGAUAACAUCCGGAAACGGAUGCUAAAACCGCAUAGGUCUUCGAGCCGCAUGGCUUGAAGAGGAAAAGAGGCGCCAGCUUCUGCUGAUGGAUGGACCCGCGGUGCAUUAGCUAGUUGGUGAGGUAACGGCUCACCAAGGCCGUGAUGCAUAGCCGACCUGAGAGGGUGAUCGGCCACAUUGGGACUGAGACACGGCCCAAACUCCUACGGGAGGCAGCAGUAGGGAAUCUUCCGCAAUGGACGCAAGUCUGACGGAGCAACGCCGCGUGAGUGAAGAAGGUUUUCGGAUCGUAAAACUCUGCUGUUAGAGAAGAACAAGUGCUAGAGUAACUGUUAGCGCCUUGACGGUAUCUAACCAGAAAGCCACGGCUAACUACGUG